This 252-nucleotide unclassified non-coding RNA is filed under the name Hevea brasiliensis (rubber tree). The record is from RNAcentral. Lineage: Eukaryota; Viridiplantae; Streptophyta; Magnoliopsida; Malpighiales; Euphorbiaceae.
GGUUGAUAGAACGAUAACAAAUCUGCAAAUGAAAACCAUAGCCUUAAGUCUACACAAAUGAGCUGUGGGUAGGCCUGUUCAUGGAUUGGAUUGGAUAAAAGUUGCUUCCAAUUCAACCCAAACCAUGUUAAACAAAUGAGUGUGGAUUUUACAAUUCAAAACAACCAAUCAAAUUGCAAGAGAGAGUUGGUUAGUUGGUCGGGUGAAGUUAUAUUUGAUGGCUGCUUUGGUACUAAUUUGGUACUAGGUAAU